This 447-nucleotide ribosomal RNA is filed under the name uncultured bacterium. RNAcentral's name for it is "bacterial SSU rRNA". It matches the Rfam family "Bacterial small subunit ribosomal RNA", at positions 329 to 793 of the family's 1533-position model. The record is from RNAcentral.
GGCCAGACUCCUACGGGAGGCAGCAGUGGGGAAUAUUGCACAAUGGGGGAAACCCUGAUGCAGCGACGCCGCGUGAGUGAAGAAGUAUUUCGGUAUGUAAAGCUCUAUCAGCAGGGAAGAAAAUGACGGUACCUGACUAAGAAGCCCCGGCUAACUACGUGCCAGCAGCCGCGGUAAUACGUAGGGGGCAAGCGUUAUCCGGAUUUACUGGGUGUAAAGGGAGCGUAGACGGCAUGGCAAGUCAGAUGUGAAAGCCCGGGGCUCAACCCCGGGACUGCAUUUGAAACUGUCAGGCUGGAGUGCAGGAGAGGUAAGUGGAAUUCCUAGUGUAGCGGUGAAAUGCGUAGAUAUUAGGAGGAGCACCAGUGGCGAAGGCGGCUUACUGGACUGUAACUGACGUUGAGGCUCGAAAGCGUGGGGAGCAAACAGGAUUAGAUACCCGAGUAA